AGUUACUGUAGUAACCAGUCCAAGCGAAUAGACACCGAUCAGAGGGGAUAUCAAGGCACAAGGAUCUGCAGCCUUUACAAGCCGCAGGGAAAAGGAACUACGUGGGACCCUUUCCCCCUCCCCACGUGGGAGUGGGUACUUGUUCUUCAAUAAACCUCCACCUUUGCUAUACCA
Myotis davidii is the source of this 174-nucleotide long non-coding RNA. RefSeq lists it as uncharacterized. The transcript has 2 exons. The record is from RefSeq and is a predicted model, not a curated record. Lineage: Eukaryota; Metazoa; Chordata; Mammalia; Chiroptera; Vespertilionidae.